GAAAAAAGCAAAGACCUGACACAGGACCUGAGAGAUCUACUGUUCACUGAAGCCACAUCAGAAAUGGUCUCGGUGGAAAAGAUGGCUGUCAAGAUGUCAAGAAAAAAUCUAAAAAAGACUGAGUAAGACCUGGUAUUUUUCCUGGAAUAAUUGGAAAUAUCUUAAAAGACACCACAAUUAAAAUGAUUCCUAUUCCACAAAGCCAUUCAGCUGCUACCCCAAGAUCCCAACAUAACAGUAGACACAAUACAGCCAGUAACAGGAUGCUCUUCAUGAGGUAAGACCUGCUGCAUAAUUCCCCCUCUGCGUCUUUUCUUGCCCUUUCCUCCUCUUGUCUCCACAGCUUUCUCUUCAUCUUCUUUAGGUCUUCAUCCUUGUAAUGCUCCCUCAGAUUUUCCUCCUUUUUGCUGAUUUCUUCUUGUCUCUCUGCAAGGAUGCUUUCCUGUCUUUUUCUGAUUUUCCUCUCCUUCUCAGGAUACAGCUCUGUCUUGUAGUAACUACCUCCAUUCAGGGCCACCAGAGUCUUGAUCUUCUCAGUAAAAGUUGUGACCUGCUUCUGGCCCUCCGGGGUUUUGUUGUUGAAGACGUGGAAGCCACCGCUACACUUGCGUAUGAAGUUGCGGAGGUUCUCGUCACUCUCAGUAAUGAUGUCAUUUAUUGUUUUGUUUUCCAGGCGAUCGCCGUGGGUGAACAGCAUGAUGGUGUAGUCCCACACUGUUGGGCCAAACUUUGCUUCAAUCAGCAUGUGGGUGUCUUGGUCUUCCUGAGUCAGCCUUCCUAAAGGAACAACAUAUGCAAAGACGUGGGGUCCUGGUUCCUGGAGUUUCAGAAGAAUCUGAAAAAAUUCUCUCGGAUGAUGUCCUCCUUGUUGCUUCCCUUCUUGAAAAGCCCAGGUGUGUCAAUCACAUCGACGGGUAUAUCUCCAACCACGCGGGACUCUUUUUCACAGUGAACAGUGACGCUGCCCAGCUUCAUCUCUGACCUGAACACCGUUUUAUUGAGGAUGGUGUUCCCACUCAAGCUCUUGCCUGCACCACAUUUUCCAAGAAGCAUGAUCCUCAGCGGCUCUGUCAACCCAACAGAACAAGCAUUUUUAAACACUAUUCAGAGUUCAUGAAAGUUGUUGUGCUCUUCAUUCUGACUUCUGAUAUUAGCCGUGUUUAAUUCUUAGAACUUCAUGGCUUUCACAUAUUAGCCCAGACUGUUACAUUUGAGGGCACAAACCAACUUUUUUAUUAUGUUGUUACAUUGUGGUAAAUACAUAGCAUUUUGGCAUUUGUUGAUGAAUAUAAUAAAGAGUAAAGAUUAAUAUGUUGUAUGUGGUGUUAUGAUACAAUAUGUGGUUUGUUUUGUUUUUAUAUGCCUGUUGAAAUAUUUUUCAUAUCUUACUUUUUCAGAAAAUUAAAUUUUGUAUUAUUAACCAAAUUGAUCCAGGCAUAUAUGAUUCUGUUACUGCAGAAAUUGCUAUUACUAAAUUUAACCACUAAUUUCAACAAGUGUGUGGCAUAAUUCCGGCUACAAUUUAUUA
Long non-coding RNA from Oreochromis aureus, 1528 nucleotides. The record is from Ensembl. NCBI's taxonomy places the organism in Eukaryota, Metazoa, Chordata, Actinopteri, Cichliformes, Cichlidae.